This 949-nucleotide long non-coding RNA is filed under the name Homo sapiens (human). RNAcentral's name for it is "long intergenic non-protein coding RNA 1606". Lineage: Eukaryota; Metazoa; Chordata; Mammalia; Primates; Hominidae. The record is from RNAcentral.
ACCUAACGGCUCUUCUUCGAGUCUUCUCAGAGGUUGGAGAUUCCCUGUCUUCUCCAACCUCUGCCAAGUCUUCAGAGAGGUUGGAGUGCGCCUGUCGGAGGUACUAGACCCCAGAUGAGGAUCUCAGGAAGAUCCACAAAGCUGCGUCCAGGGGAACGAACGUGUGGAAGCUGCAGCGGAGCCUCCUGCUCAAGAGUAAAGGACCGGUCUGAAACCUACAAGAACAGAAGAGCCAUGUGACGGGAUCCGUGGUUUGGCAGAGGAGACAUGCGAGAAGACGGAACGUUUUGUCCGAAUAGACAUCUGGCAGGGUGGAACGGAGAGAACAGGUAUGGUGGAGAGAACGUCUGAGAAGGUCGCAGGAUUCGCAGGAGCAUCGGGAAAAGAUUGCCUGCUUGCCCGAAGGAAUGGCAAGUUCCAAAGCUGUGCUGUGGGCAGUGUUUAGUUCAUGUCUGCUUUGCUGGCGGGCCGAGUAGCAACAGCUGCAGUUGGUGUGUUCUCUGAAGGCAGUAUCCGAAGGCUGGAGGGGUUGCUUUUCUUCCCAGGUGUCUUUUGAAGAGGCAGUCAAGUCAGCAGCUCGCGGUGAACUUCUGCGAGAAAGAAGAAAGAAAUUCCGUGGAUAGGGAGCCAGCCAGGUUUCCUGCAGAAAAUCAUGGGAAGCUUUUGAGCAGGGGAGUCAGAAGAUGAGCGGGCUCCGGGAUGUCUCGUUCUUACUGUGUCCCUGCCAACCCUGGUCCCAUCUCGUCAUGAUCACCCACUGCAGAAGAGAGGAGGUUCUCACAGUAGACGAGGAGCCUGUUUUUCAGCUAGCUGCCACAAGGGGGCUGGAAAUUUCUCCCUUCAGAGUGGACCUGGAAGGCUUGGAAGCAUCUGGAGAAGGGCAUGGCCACGAGUAGAGAAAUCCAGGCUACAGGCAGAAGUGGGAGGAAGCGAGAGAGGAAGACUCAUG